Ziziphus jujuba (common jujube) is the source of this 1650-nucleotide long non-coding RNA. RefSeq lists it as uncharacterized. The transcript has 3 exons. The record is from RefSeq and is a predicted model, not a curated record. Lineage: Eukaryota; Viridiplantae; Streptophyta; Magnoliopsida; Rosales; Rhamnaceae.
CUUCCUAAAACACCCUUUUUUAAAGUGAGGUAGAGAGGAAGAGAGACAGAGAGGACAGGGCUUGAAAAAACUGCACCAUCAUUAUCCAUUCUUGCACAUAGCCACCACAGGCACCUAACUUAAUCAGGUUUAUAAUCGGCAUGGUUUUUCAACAUUUAAUUGAUAAUAUUAACAAGGUACUGAAAUCUAUUCUGAAUCACAACAGUAGUUGGUUGGAUCAAAAUAUGUUUAUUUUAAUCCAUGAUAUUAGACCAAUAAAACAUUCAACAUACAUUGAUUUUGAUACCCAGGGUUAAUCUCAAACUACAAAAAUAAAAUAAUUUUAGCACACUAAGACAUGUUAUAUGCAAUUGUAAUGGAAAAAACACCAGUUAGUUUUACUUACUCUCUAGAAUAGAUGAACUUCGCCCUUCUCAUUCUUUUUCUGUUCAACAUAUUGAUGAACUUGUUUAGAUUACAACACUACUUAUAAUACAUAAUAACAUAUACACAAACACUAGGAUACAUUAAUCAAACAGCAGAACAACUGCCAAGAAAGGUCUAAAACAAGGAAUAAUCAAUAAAAAGAGGAAAUCCCUACAUUUUUCGGACUCUAGCGGUGAAACAUCAUACCAAAUAUGUCCUUAAAAUUAACUUCCGGUCAUACUCUAUAGGACACAAGAACUUUGGCCUUCCCCUUUUUUUGCUAUACUACAUAUUGAUGAACUCGUUCAGCUUUUCUUUGACUAGACUGUUCAUACGAAGAGCUUCACUUAUUUGUGAGUUCCAUUUUAUACAUUCUGAGUCUAGCAAUGUUGCAGGAGUAGAUUACUCUCAUAUCAGUAAUUUUGAAAUGGAGAUGUCUUUUUAUGUCAUAACUAAAUAGAUGUGAUUACUCUAAUAGCAGUAACUGUCAGGUUUGUUUAUUUAAUAUUAUUUACGUAUAAAUAGUUGCUUAAAUCAGUCUUCUUAAUUCUAUUUUAUUUACAUAAAUGUCUUGUUUGUUUAUUUACUAUUUUCAGCAUCCCAUUGGCAAAGCAAAAAUGUUAAAGGAGGGACUAUUGGCAAAGGAAAUGCAGCUAUGGUUGCAACUAUGGGGAGGUUAAAGGUGGAACUAGAUUAUGCCAUAGGGAGGCCCACAAAGACAAGAUUUCAAGUAAAUUAACGAGUGUGGUUAUCUAGUUGGGAAGCAUGCUCCUCUACAAGUUGAGACAUGGAUGCAGAUUGAUGAAAAUGAAAGAAAAAGAAUCAGAAACCUUCUACAGGUCACGACAUAUGGUUAGUACAACCGCUAUCCAAGAUCCAUGAGUUUUUGCUUGUGCUUGCGAUGUUGCAAAUGGUUGUGAAGGUUGAUUCAUCUAUUAUUGACGCUUCCAGUUUCAAAAACAACAAUAGAACGAGCUUUUACAAGGAUGAAGUUUGUUAAAACAUCGCUCUGCAAUUAAAUGAAGAAUGAAUUUCUAGAAAACUUCAUGAUUGUUUAUAUUGCAAGGGAGAUAGCUGAUGGUAUUGAUUCAGAUUUCAUAAUUGAUAAGUUUGAUCUUUUGAAGAAUCGUAAGUUCAGACUAAGUGGUUUAUGUAUUUACAUUGCAUAUUUUUUUACUUUCAUAAUUUUUUUUCAUUAUUAUUAUAUUAAUUUAAUAUGGUAAUUAUAUGCAUAUUGAGAGGUAA